RNAcentral lists this ribosomal RNA (444 nucleotides) under uncultured bacterium. RNAcentral's name for it is "bacterial SSU rRNA". It matches the Rfam family "Bacterial small subunit ribosomal RNA", at positions 355 to 796 of the family's 1533-position model. The record is from RNAcentral.
UGAGGAAUAUUGGUCAAUGGACGCAAGUCUGAACCAGCCAUGCCGCGUGAAGGAUGAAGGCCUUCUGGGUUGUAAACUUCUUUUAUCGGGGAAGAAAACUAUGGUUUCUACUAUAGCCGACGGUACCCGAGGAAUAAGCACCGGCUAACUCCGUGCCAGCAGCCGCGGUAAUACGGAGGGUGCAAGCGUUAUCCGGAUUCACUGGGUUUAAAGGGUGUGUAGGCGGGCUGUUAAGUCAGUGGUGAAAUCUCCGGGCUCAACCCGGAAACUGCCAUUGAUACUAUCAGUCUUGAAUAUUGUUGAGGUGGGCGGAAUAUGUCAUGUAGCGGUGAAAUGCAUAGAGAUGACAUAGAACACCGAUUGCGAAGGCAGCUCACUAAACAUGUAUUGACGCUGAGGCACGAAAGCGUGGGGAUCAAACAGGAUUAGAUACCCGCGUAGUCC